This 496-nucleotide ribosomal RNA is filed under the name uncultured bacterium. Its description in RNAcentral is "partial 16S ribosomal RNA". It matches the Rfam family "Bacterial small subunit ribosomal RNA", at positions 355 to 867 of the family's 1533-position model. The record is from RNAcentral.
UGGGGAAUAUUGCACAAUGGGCGAAAGCCUGAUGCAGCAACGCCGCGUGAGUGAUGAAGGUCUUCGGAUUGUAAAGCUCUGUCUUUUGGGACGAUAAUGACGGUACCAAAGGAGGAAGCCACGGCUAACUACGUGCCAGCAGCCGCGGUAAUACGUAGGUGGCGAGCGUUGUCCGGAUUUACUGGGCGUAAAGGGCGCGUAGGCGGAUGUUUAAGUGAGAUGUGAAAUACCCGGGCUUAACUUGGGUGCUGCAUUUCAAACUGGAUAUCUAGAGUGCAGGAGAGGAGAAUGGAAUUCCUAGUGUAGCGGUGAAAUGCGUAGAGAUUAGGAAGAACACCAGUGGCGAAGGCGAUUCUCUGGACUGUAACUGACGCUGAGGCACGAAAGCGUGGGUAGCAAACAGGAUUAGAUACCCUGGUAGUCCACGCCGUAAACGAUGAGUACUAGGUGUAGGAGGUAUCGACCCCUUCUGUGCCGCAGUAAACACAUUAAGUAC